RNAcentral lists this ribosomal RNA (289 nucleotides) under uncultured bacterium. RNAcentral describes it as "partial 16S ribosomal RNA". It matches the Rfam family "Bacterial small subunit ribosomal RNA", at positions 773 to 1060 of the family's 1533-position model. The record is from RNAcentral.
GUGGAUUAGAUACCCUGGUAGUCCACGCCCUAAACGAUGAUCACUAGGUGUUGGGGAAGCGAUUUCCUAGUACCGCAGCUAACGCGUGAAGUGAUCCGCCUGGGGAGUACGGUCGCAAGAUUAAAACUCAAAGGAAUUGACGGGGACCCGCACAAGCGGUGGAUGAUGUGGAUUAAUUCGAUGCAACGCGAAAAACCUUACCUACCCUUGACAUGUACGGAAGCCCGGUGAGAGCCGGGUGUGCCCGAAAGGGAGCCGUAACACAGGUGCUGCACGGUUGUCGCCAGCU